AAUAAAAGGCAAAGCAGUCGAAAGGUUGUGACGCAAAGCUACAGGGCCUGAAAAUGGUUGCCAGCUG
This 67-nucleotide non-coding RNA is filed under the name uncultured Blautia sp. Its description in RNAcentral is "Cyclic di-GMP-I riboswitch". It matches the Rfam family "c-di-GMP-I riboswitch aptamer", at positions 6 to 82 of the family's 87-position model. From Rfam's summary of the family: GEMM was predicted in a large-scale screen for bacterial structured RNA regulatory elements. Genes associated with GEMM are involved in a diverse array of functions, including chemotaxis regulation, signal transduction, secretion and chitin. Lineage: Bacteria; Bacillati; Bacillota; Clostridia; Lachnospirales; Lachnospiraceae. The record is from RNAcentral.